CCUACGGGAGGCAGCAGUGGGGGAUAUUGCACAAUGGGGGGAACCCUGAUGCAGCGACGCCGCGUGGGUGAAGGAGUGCUUCGGCAUGUAAAGCCCUAUCGGCAGGGACGAAGCAAGACGGUACCUGACUAAGAAGCCCCGGCUAACUACGUGCCAGCAGCCGCGGUAAUACGUAGGGGGCGAGCGUUAUCCGGAUUCACUGGGUGUAAAGGGAGCGUAGACGGCCAUGCCAGCCAGGGGUGAAAGCCCGGGGCCCAACCCCGGGACUGCCCUUGGAACUGUGCGGCUAGAGUGCGGGAGGGGCAGGCGGAAUUCCUGGGGUAGCGGUGAAAUGCGUAGAUAUCAGGAGGAACACCGGCGGCGAAGGCGGCCUGCUGGACCGCGACUGACGUUGAGGCUCGAAAGCGUGGGGAGCGAACAGGAUUAGAUACCCCAGUAGUC
RNAcentral lists this ribosomal RNA (441 nucleotides) under uncultured bacterium. RNAcentral's name for it is "partial 16S ribosomal RNA". It matches the Rfam family "Bacterial small subunit ribosomal RNA", at positions 338 to 795 of the family's 1533-position model. The record is from RNAcentral.